CUUUAAGAGGAAAAAUUUGACUGAUUGCAACCUCUUUUUCAAUUUAAUUGGAUAAAUAAAAUGCUAAAGCAGUGUAA
This is a non-coding RNA of Flavobacteriaceae bacterium CG1_02_35_72, 77 nucleotides long. Lineage: Bacteria; Pseudomonadati; Bacteroidota; Flavobacteriia; Flavobacteriales; Flavobacteriaceae. The record is from Rfam.